This 182-nucleotide non-coding RNA is filed under the name Candidatus Dadabacteria bacterium. RNAcentral's name for it is "6S RNA". It matches the Rfam family "6S / SsrS RNA". Rfam says of the family: E. coli 6S RNA was the first non coding RNA to be sequenced, but its function was unknown until recently. Lineage: Bacteria; Pseudomonadati; Thermodesulfobacteriota; Candidatus Dadabacteria. The record is from RNAcentral.
UUGCCCCUGGGGUGCGCGUGACGGACGCAAGCACUCCGACCGACAACGAUAGAAAAGGGAGCCCACAUCCGGUCGCGCUGCGGGUGGCGAAAGCCCCGCAGUUAGGGGCGGCCGGAAACCAAGCACCCACCUGGUAGACCCGGGUUCGAGUGAUACGUCCGAACGGCAUCACCGGGGGCACC